UGCAGUGAGACUGUAAACAAAUCCCGUGCUCGCCUGUAUUUAAAGGAUGCUUUCUCUUAAUUUUUUAUUUCUUUCUUCCCUGUCUGAUUUCAGGAUGUUUUGCAAGGGUGAAAUGCUCUACGUGUUGUGGGACAUCGGGAAGUCUGAACAGAGCCCGGCACUCACAGGGGGCUGCCCCGAGCACUCUCCGGUUCCCCCCACUUUGGCUGGAGCAGAGCCUUGGAGGCAUCCAUCCAUACUGCUCAAACAGCCUUCAGGUUUUGCUGUUAUUUUAGAACAGGUGGGAGGUGAUGGAUUCCCCCAGACAGUUCUCCUUUCUGAGUGUCAUGUCUUCACACAAACACGCACCAUCAGUCCUCCAGCCUGGGGUGCCUGUGAUGCACUGAAAUAAUAUGCUCCAAGGAAGAGGAUAAUCUCCUACACUGUGGCUAUCUUGCUACUCCAGUGUUCUCAUGUCCUGACAGCGAUUGGCAAUAGAAUAAGAGUUACUGAGGAAUUAUUUGACAUCUUUGUGAAUUUGGUGCUCCAGUUGGACACAGUCAGCUGCGUGCUGAGACGAGACGCACAGAAUGGCUGAGAACUGCUAAAAUCUGAGCUUCCUUCAGAACUUACCUGAUGCUAUGCAGCUUUUACUGCACAACAUGCAUUUUAUAUAUCUAUCUAAUGAAAAACCUUUGAUAAGAGCAUGUUUCUGUGUUUUAGAGUGAUUAUGUAUGCGUGUUUUAUUGUUCCCAUAUAUAUGAAAUUCUUUGGAGAAGAUUGGCAUAGUUCCUACAGAUUCAGUCUUCUGAGGUGAGCAUACAACACAGAAAGCAAGUAUGGCAGAGCAGGAGGUUUGUCGUAACACUUUGUUAUAGCAUGUAUGUAUAUAUACAUACACAUAUAGUAUAUACGUUUGAAAGACUCAGUGACUCACACAGCCCUUUCUACUGCUCCACUGCUCUGUUUCAAGCACCCACCUGCAGCGUGAAUAACUCCAUGAAUGAUUGUUGCUAUAACUGUGAGUUCAGGUCACUGAGUUUGUGACAUGUAAGAUCUACCUUCAGUCUCUUAUAGGUAAUAAUUAUUUUUAUAUGGUAUAAAAAAGUAAUGUGAGGUUUGCUUCCUAUGUUUAUAUGACGUAUGAAAUUCUUGUGUAGACUGACCACUAUGACAAAAUAUUAUGAAUCACUUCAUUUACUGAUGAAAUGGAGAUCCUCAUGAUCAAUGACAAAAUGGAGGAGAAAGAAGAUCAUAUCUUCCAGAAACUUUUCUCUGGUGGGCACAACGUCAUUCCUCUGUUUGGAUUUUGCUAGGCCACCAAAUGUAAAGCCUGUGUGGUGGGUUGACCUUACCUGGCUGCCAGGCCGCCACCACACCAGUCUCUCACUCCCCUUUCUAUACAGGACAGAGGGAGAAAGUAAGAUGGAAAAGGUCAUGGGCUGAGAUAAAGACAGGGACAUUGCUCAUCAAUAACCAUCAUGGG
Molecule: long non-coding RNA, 1465 nt
Organism: Cygnus olor (mute swan)
Lineage: Eukaryota; Metazoa; Chordata; Aves; Anseriformes; Anatidae
Exons: 2
Source: RefSeq, a predicted model, not a curated record